GACGGGACCCCGCACAAGCGGUGGAUCAUGUUGUUAAUUCGACGAUACGCGAAGAACUUACCAGGUCUUGACAUCCCCUGCAAAGCUAUGGAGACAUAGUGGAGGUUAUCAGGGAGACAGGUGGUGCAUGGUUGUCGUCAGCUCGUGUCGUGAGAUGUUGGGUUAAGUCCCGCAACGAGCGCAACCCUUAUUGCUAGUUACCAUCAUUAAGUUGGGGACUCUAGCGAGACUGCCAGUGAUAAACUGGAGGAAGGUGGGGAUGACGUCAAAUCAUCAUGCCCCUUAUGACCUGGGCUACAAACGUGAUACAAUGGCUGAAACAAAGGGCAGCGAAGGAGCGAUCUGGAGCGAAACCCAAAAAAGCAGUCUCAGUUCGGAUUGAAGUCUGCAACUCGACUUCAUGAAGUCGGAAUCGCUAGUAAUCGCGGAUCAGAACGCCGCGGUGAAUACGUUCUCGGGGUUU
This 463-nucleotide ribosomal RNA is filed under the name uncultured Acholeplasma sp. RNAcentral's name for it is "bacterial SSU rRNA". It matches the Rfam family "Bacterial small subunit ribosomal RNA", at positions 912 to 1382 of the family's 1533-position model. The record is from RNAcentral. Lineage: Bacteria; Bacillati; Mycoplasmatota; Mollicutes; Acholeplasmatales; Acholeplasmataceae.